CCAUCUUGCUCGCCCUUUUGGCUAAGAUAAAGUGUAUUUGUUUGUACCAGUUUGAUAUCUAAUACGUGGACCAUAUGUUCAUUUUUAUAUUGACUUUAUUUUAUGAGCAUUUUUUGUGGAGGGUUCAACAUAGGCUUACUCGAGCCUCACAUGUCGCUCAGUUGUGUGCCGCCGCA
This 176-nucleotide small nuclear RNA is filed under the name Zea mays. Its description in RNAcentral is "U2 spliceosomal RNA". It matches the Rfam family "U2 spliceosomal RNA". From Rfam's summary of the family: U2 is a small nuclear RNA (snRNA) component of the spliceosome (involved in pre-mRNA splicing). Lineage: Eukaryota; Viridiplantae; Streptophyta; Magnoliopsida; Poales; Poaceae. The record is from Rfam by way of RNAcentral.